RNAcentral lists this ribosomal RNA (367 nucleotides) under uncultured bacterium. RNAcentral describes it as "bacterial SSU rRNA". It matches the Rfam family "Bacterial small subunit ribosomal RNA", at positions 525 to 896 of the family's 1533-position model. The record is from RNAcentral.
ACGGAGGAUCCAAGCGUUAUCCGGAAUCAUUGGGUUUAAAGGGUCCGUAGGCGGUUUAAUAAGUCAGUGGUGAAAGCCCAUCGCUCAACGGUGGAACGGCCAUUGAUACUGUUAAACUUGAAUUAUUAGGAAGUAACUAGAAUAUGUAGUGUAGCGGUGAAAUGCUUAGAUAUUACAUGGAAUACCAAUUGCGAAGGCAGGUUACUACUAAUGGAUUGACGCUGAUGGACGAAAGCGUGGGUAGCGAACAGGAUUAGAUACCCUGGUAGUCCACGCCGUAAACGAUGGAUACUAGCUGUUGGGAGCAAUCUCAGUGGCUAAGCGAAAGUGAUAAGUAUCCCACCUGGGGAGUACGUUCGCAAGAAUG